This 74-nucleotide transfer RNA is filed under the name Lactobacillus paragasseri. RNAcentral describes it as "tRNA-Glu". It matches the Rfam family "tRNA". From Rfam's summary of the family: Transfer RNA (tRNA) molecules are approximately 80 nucleotides in length. Their secondary structure includes four short double-helical elements and three loops (D, anti-codon, and T loops). Further hydrogen bonds mediate the characteristic L-shaped molecular structure. tRNAs have two regions of fundamental functional importance: the anti-codon, which is responsible for specific mRNA codon recognition, and the 3' end, to which the tRNAs corresponding amino acid is attached (by aminoacyl-tRNA synthetases). tRNAs cope with the degeneracy of the genetic code in two manners: having more than one tRNA (with a specific anti-codon) for a particular amino acid; and 'wobble' base-pairing, i.e. permitting non-standard base-pairing at the 3rd anti-codon position. The record is from RNAcentral. Lineage: Bacteria; Bacillati; Bacillota; Bacilli; Lactobacillales; Lactobacillaceae.
UGGCUCGUUGGUCAAAUGGCUAAGACUCCACACUUUCACGGUGGAGUUACAAGUUCAAUUCUUGUACGAGCUAU